This 65-nucleotide transfer RNA is filed under the name Laxta sp. BLA048. RNAcentral describes it as "tRNA-Glu". It matches the Rfam family "tRNA". Rfam says of the family: Transfer RNA (tRNA) molecules are approximately 80 nucleotides in length. Lineage: Eukaryota; Metazoa; Arthropoda; Insecta; Blattodea; Blaberidae. The record is from RNAcentral.
AUUUAUAUAGUUUAAAUUAAAACAUUACACUUUCACUGUAAAAAUACUUCAAUUAGUUAUAAAUU